AGUGAACGCUGGCGGUAGGCCUAACACAUGCAAGUCGAACGGCAGCACAGUAAGAGCUUGCUCUUACGGGUGGCGAGUGGCGGACGGGUGAGGAAUACAUCGGAAUCUACUUUUUCGUGGGGGAUAACGUAGGGAAACUUACGCUAAUACCGCAUACGACCUACGGGUGAAAGCAGGGGACCUUCGGACCUUGCGCGAUUGAAUGAGCCGAUGUCGGAUUAGCUAGUUGGCGGGGUAAAGGCCCACCAAGGCGACGAUCCGUAGCUGGUCUGAGAGGAUGAUCGGCCACACUGGAACUGAGACACGGUCCAGACUCCUACGGGAGGCAGCAGUGGGGAAUAUUGGACAAUGGGCGCAAGCCUGAUCCAGCCAUACCGCGUGGGUGAAGAAGGCCUUCGGGUUGUAAAGCCCUUUUGUUGGGAAAGAAAAGCAGCAGGUUAAUACCCCGCUGUUCUGACGGUACCCAAAGAAUAAGCACCGGCUAACUUCGUG
This 492-nucleotide ribosomal RNA is filed under the name uncultured bacterium. RNAcentral describes it as "partial 16S ribosomal RNA". It matches the Rfam family "Bacterial small subunit ribosomal RNA", at positions 29 to 507 of the family's 1533-position model. The record is from RNAcentral.